Molecule: RNA transcript, 2037 nt
Organism: Diachasma alloeum
Lineage: Eukaryota; Metazoa; Arthropoda; Insecta; Hymenoptera; Braconidae
Exons: 9
Source: RefSeq, a predicted model, not a curated record
GCAUUCGUGGUAGAGAUAAAUGGAUCCGACGAAAUUUGAAAAAAAAUAGAUAUCUGGGGACGUUGACCUCAGAGAAAAAAUAGUUUAAGACAACAAAUUUUGGUUUUUACCUGAAUUUUUCAAAUAAAUUCUUUACUAUGAAUAGAAAGCGGCUGCACAGAGUUUAAACUAUAAAAUCAUCCUAAAAAUUUCAUUUUUACAUAUGGACAUUUUUGUUUUUCUUGAAAACAAUUGAGCUGAUAUGGUGAUUUAAACUCAAGGUUUAUCAAUGAAAAUGAAAAUGGGACGGGCAUAAGGUUCGGAGAAAGAAAAUCAUCACAGAUUUUUUAGAGACAUUGAAAAAAAAAGGUGGUUGGAUUGACAAAGAAUCCCUCAUAUAAGAGUGUGUUUGCCGGAUUUUCUUACACUUGUAUAUACAACUAUCGGACAAGAAGAUUUUAAGCGAGAUCUUUAAUAUUGAAUCGUGUCACAUAUCAUUUCUACGUUGAGAAUCAUACCUGCGUUCUCAAGUACUGGGACUGCUUGUGCAUCAACAUCAUCGUCUAACACAUCAGGGAUUUCUCCACCAAUGUCCAUGUGAUCUUCCUGGGCCUCUGGAUCAAUGAAACCUUCAGGAUGAUUACGAUAGACGUGUUUGACGUACGAAUCCCAUUUUUUGAACGUGGCCCCACAUCCUCUCUGAUCAACAUUCACACACCGAACAUGACAUAUCGAACACGUCAGAUGAUCCAUAUUAAACAAGGGGGGAAUGCCAUUAUAAGGAACUGCGUAUAGCUGUUGUUGCUAAGAAAUUAGCAACAAGCUUCCGAAUGGAUUUUUGUUUCUCAGAUUUUAUUGUUUCCACUUUUUUUCCUCAUUAUAAUAUUUAUUCGAAUACAUAGAAAUGUAUCUAAAUUGUCUUUAUAUUCAAUUAAAUUUUUAUCACCUCAUCAUGUGAUAAAGUACUCAAUUGAAAAUCGAAUUAUAAUGCAAUCGAGUGAAGUUGGUUCGUUAUGAAAUUGUUUCAUUCAUACUAUCACUGACAGCUCCAUCAAUUGUGCAAAACAUGUCGAAAGAUUCAUUGAAAAGAUCUCAUGAUACGAUUGAUAGUAAUUCGUCUUCACAAUCAGGAACAUCUUAUAGAGGAAAUCAAGAGGUUGGAAACACAGACGAAACGUUUAAUUUUACUCUCACUCCAUCCCAUAUUCUUCGUAUGUACCACAAUGACAUUAAAUCGCGAAUGAUAUCUAUUGUCGGAGUAGUUGAUCAGGUUAUUCCUAUAAUUACGCUAAGUGGUCCUGCGAGCAAGAGUUUGUUUAAAUGGACCUUGAAUAAUGGCGAUUGUGAACGAGGUUCUCUUUAUUAAUGGAAUUUUCAUGAGGGCUGGAAAUCCAAAAUAUAUAAACGGAACAGUAUUAUUCCAGUUGACUAUUCAGUCGAAUACCACUAUAAAUGUGAUGCACAAAUUUGGCCCUAAUAUUCAUCAAUUAAAUAUUUUGAACCAAAAUUUAAGGUUGAUUGAACUGGAAGAUGUGUGUAAUCAUCGUCAAUGGAUUCGUGUACAAGGUUUUAUCAAGACCAAUUUUUCCCUGAUUCAAAGAGCAGAAGGAUCACCUUCAGUUUGCUUUGGUGCCAUUGGGGCUGAUGAUUUCUGUUUGGAAGUGAAAAUUGUUCAGUUUGAUAAUCCUUUAACUCAUACUUUUGAAAUAGGACAAAAUGUUGAGUUUCAGGGUUUUAUUCGGAAAUCAGAGGAUUUUCCACCUCAACUCAUUGCUCGUACCCUAGGAGACAUCGUUGUGAUUGAUGGAGUUGUCAAAGAUGUGUCCUAUCUAUGCGAAUGUGUUAAGAGUCCCGUCGAAAAUGUGAAAAAAUCUCGGCAGGAUUGAUUCAAAUUUUUUUAUUUGUUUUUCAUGGAAAUUUUGUCCAUUUUACCAUCAUUUAUACAUCAACUUUUCUUUUAUUGGAAUUUUUAAUCGUACAAGUAAAAAAUUUCCUCUCUCUACCAUUGUCAUUCGAAAUUGUAUUCAAUUUAUUAAUUUAAUCCAUAAAUUACCAGUA